RNAcentral lists this ribosomal RNA (1383 nucleotides) under Listeria monocytogenes. RNAcentral's name for it is "bacterial LSU rRNA". It matches the Rfam family "Bacterial large subunit ribosomal RNA", at positions 1 to 1377 of the family's 2925-position model. Lineage: Bacteria; Bacillati; Bacillota; Bacilli; Caryophanales; Listeriaceae. The record is from RNAcentral.
UUGGUUAAGUUAGAAAGGGCGCACGGUGGAUGCCUUGGCACUAGGAGCCGAAGAAGGACGGGACUAACACCGAUAUGCUUUGGGGAGCUGUACGUAAGCGUUGAUCCAGAGAUUUCCGAAUGGGGGAACCCACUAUCUUUAGUCGGAUAGUAUCCUUACGUGAAUACAUAGCGUGAGGAAGGCAGACCCAGGGAACUGAAACAUCUAAGUACCUGGAGGAAGAGAAAGAAAAAUCGAUUUCCUGAGUAGCGGCGAGCGAAACGGAAAGAGCCCAAACCAAGAAGCUUGCUUCUUGGGGUUGUAGGACACUCUAUACGGAGUUACAAAAGAAAGUUAUAAAUGAAGCGGUCUGGAAAGGCCCGCCAAAGACGGUAACAGCCCGGUAGUUGAAAUAGCUUUCCCUCCAGAGUGGAUCCUGAGUACGGCGGAACACGUGAAAUUCCGUCGGAAUCUGGGAGGACCAUCUCCCAAGGCUAAAUACUCCCUAGUGACCGAUAGUGAACCAGUACCGUGAGGGAAAGGUGAAAAGCACCCCGGAAGGGGAGUGAAACAGUUCCUGAAACCGUGUGCCUACAAGUAGUUAGAGCCCGUUAAUGGGUGAUAGCGUGCCUUUUGUAGAAUGAACCGGCGAGUUACGAUUUGUUGCAAGGUUAAGCGGAAAAAGCGGAGCCGUAGCGAAAGCGAGUCUGAAUAGGGCGCAUAAGUAACAGGUCGUAGACCCGAAACCAGGUGAUCUACCCAUGUCCAGGAUGAAGGUAAGGUAAUACUUACUGGAGGUCCGAACCCACGCACGUUGAAAAGUGCGGGGAUGAGGUGUGGGUAGCGGAGAAAUUCCAAUCGAACUUGGAGAUAGCUGGUUCUCUCCGAAAUAGCUUUAGGGCUAGCCUCGAGGUAAAGAGUCAUGGAGGUAGAGCACUGUUUGGACUAGGGGCCCUUCUCGGGUUACCGAAUUCAGAUAAACUCCGAAUGCCAUGUACUUAUACUCGGGAGUCAGACUGCGAGUGAUAAGAUCCGUAGUCGAAAGGGAAACAGCCCAGACCACCAGUUAAGGUCCCCAAAUAUAUGUUAAGUGGAAAAGGAUGUGGGGUUGCUUAGACAACCAGGAUGUUGGCUUAGAAGCAGCCACCAUUGAAAGAGUGCGUAAUAGCUCACUGGUCGAGUGACCCCGCGCCGAAAAUGUACCGGGGCUAAACAUAUUACCGAAACUGUGGAUGAACCUCUUUAGAGGUUCGUGGUAGGAGAGCGUUCUAAGGGCGGUGAAGUCAGACCGGAAGGACUGGUGGAGCGCUUAGAAGUGAGAAUGCCGGUAUGAGUAGCGAAAGAAGGGUGAGAAUCCCUUCCACCGAAUAUCUAAGGUUUCCUGAGGAAGGCUCGUCCGCUCAG